Molecule: ribosomal RNA, 274 nt
Filed under: uncultured bacterium
Lineage: Bacteria
Description: partial 16S ribosomal RNA
Rfam family: Bacterial small subunit ribosomal RNA
Source: RNAcentral
AUACAGAGGGUGCGAGCGUUAAUCGGAAUUACUGGGCGUAAAGCGCGCGUAGGCGGUCUAUUAAGUCAGAUGUGAAAUCCCAGGGCUCAACCUCGGAACUGCAUCUGAUACUGGUAGACUAGAGAUUUGGAGAGGGAAGUAGAAUUUCAGGUGUAGCGGUGAAAUGCAUAGAGAUCUGAAGGAAUACCAGUGGCGAAGGCGACUUCCUGGCCAAAAACUGACGCUGAGGUGCGAAAGCGUGGGUAGCAAACGGGAUUAGAAACCCUAGUAGUCC